RNAcentral lists this ribosomal RNA (117 nucleotides) under uncultured bacterium. Its description in RNAcentral is "partial 16S ribosomal RNA". It matches the Rfam family "Bacterial small subunit ribosomal RNA", at positions 1358 to 1482 of the family's 1533-position model. The record is from RNAcentral.
UACGGUGAAUACGUUCCCGGACCUUGCACACACCGGCCCGUCUAAGCCAUGGAAGCCGGGUGUACCUAAAGUCGGUAACCGUAAGGAGCCGCCUAGGGUAAACUGGUGACUGGGGCU